UCCUGGCUGACUCAGUUCAUAGAGCAUGUGACUCUUGAUCUCAAGAUUGUGGGUUCAAGCCCCACGUUGGGUG
Molecule: transfer RNA, 73 nt
Filed under: Canis lupus familiaris (dog)
Lineage: Eukaryota; Metazoa; Chordata; Mammalia; Carnivora; Canidae
Also listed under: 2 other names
Rfam family: tRNA
About the family: Transfer RNA (tRNA) molecules are approximately 80 nucleotides in length.
Source: Rfam by way of RNAcentral